Molecule: non-coding RNA, 3692 nt
Organism: Coffea arabica (coffee)
Lineage: Eukaryota; Viridiplantae; Streptophyta; Magnoliopsida; Gentianales; Rubiaceae
Source: RefSeq, a predicted model, not a curated record
CAACAUUGGCAUUUCCCAAGUUUCACAGUCCAUUGGUUAGAUGACCACCACCACUACCACCACCACCAGUGGCGGCCAGCCGCCACGACCAUCGGCCGAACCCCAGCUGAUCCCAGACCUCCCAGAUGACGUGUCCAUCAACUGCCUAUCAAGAAUCCCCAGAUACUAUUACCCUAAGCUCUCUCUUGUCUCAAGAUCAUGGCGCUCCGCCAUAACCUCCUCUGCACUCUUCACCACCCGGUCCCUCCUCCAUACCACCCAAACCUCUCUCUACCUCAACCUCCGUAUCAACUACUCCUUCCACUGGUACACUCUCCUCUCUAAUUGCCAUAGCAGAAAAAUCCCACAAAAACCCAUUUUUCCCCUUCCCCGCAUCCCGUUUCAGCCCGUAGGCCCUGCGUUCGCCGUCCUAGGCCCGAAAAUAUACGUAAUUGGGGGGUCUAUUAACGAAAUUCCGUUAAAUUUGAUGUGGGUUUAUGAUUGUAGGUUUAAUAGGUGGGAGGAAGGCCCAAGAAUGAAGGUGGGACGGGAGUUCGCUGCGGCCGGGGUUGUUGAUGGGAAGAUUUAUGUUCUAGGUGGUUGUGUUGUGGAUAGCUGGGCACGGUCUGUGAACUGGGCCGAGGUUUUUGACCCGGAUACUGGGUUGUGGGCCCCGGUGCCGAGCCCUAUUGAGGUGAGGGAGAAGUGGAUGCACGCGAGCGCGGUGGUGGAGGGGAGAGUUUAUGCAAUGGCGGAUAGAGGUGGGGUGGUGUAUGAUGUUGGGCUGGGGAAGUGGGGAAACGUGUCCAAAAGGCUUGAUUUGGGGUGGAGGGGGCGGGCUGCGGUGGUUCGGGGAGUGUUGUAUUGUUAUGAUUAUUUAGGGAAGAUCAGAGGGUACGAUGUGGAGGAAGAUGUUUGGAAGGAGUUGAGGGGUGUAGGGAAAGGGUUGCCUAGGUUUUUAUGUGGUGCGACGAUGGUGAAUUUCGAUGGAAGGUUGUGUGUAGUUUGGGAGGGGAAGGGGAGUGGGAAGGAGGUGGAGAUAAUGUGUGCGGAUAUUGAAGUUUGGAAGGAUGGGGAUGGAAUGUUGAGCGGAAGGAUUUUAUGGUCUGACGUGAUUCUCACAGUUCCUAAUGGAGCUGCGAUUGUACAUUGUAUGGCAUCUGAGUUCUGAUGGUGAUGUUUGGUGCAGGAGAGUGUGAACUUUUACUUCAUUCUUUGCGAGGAAAGGGGAAAAUAGAGCGCAAAUUGGGGGAAUGGCCAUUGACGAGGGAACAUCCCUGAACCUCUGAAGCACACAUAAAAAGGAACAAGCUCGAUUGGUUCAGUCUAUACUUUUUAAUUGACUUCCCCCCCUUAUUUGAUAUUAAUUGGUCAUCUUGCCUAAAAUAUGCUUUCAUAUAAUUAUGGAGCAAAAAAUCUACAGAAUAAAGCCAGUAGCUGAACAUGUCCUAUACUGUAACGAGGGUUAGCCAACAGACUGACUGCCUCCACUUUCAUAAGAGUUUAAAAACAUUUGAUUUUCAUAUGCCAAGCAACGUCAUUCAUCCAAUCCCAGAAGACCCAAACUAGUGUUUUAUGUCUUUUGUUCUUUUGCCUAACUGUGAAGUCCCGCAGGCAUAAAUUGUUCUUUUAGGUUCCUCCUCCUUGUUUAGACAUUUUAAUCAUUCAUUACUGCUUCUUGAGCUUCUUGCUGGAAAAUUUUCUUCUUUUUUAUUAUCCUAUUUGCCUUUGAAUUUUUCCUGGAUGGACCGAUGAUGUAAUAAGAAAUAAACUGCGUUAUCUAUCUGCAAUUUCCCAAAUGGAAUUGAAGAUUAAUUUGUCUUCCUGAGGUCCUGUAUGAUAAUUAUCAGUCUAAUGGUUUCAUAAUGUCAUUUUUUCAAUUUCUUUUUCGAUAUUGAAGUCUGUACUGGUGGUUUAAUUUGUUUUAUGAUCUGAGGAUGAGCAUCAGUGAUGAUAUAUGACAAUUGUUAUCCUUGCACUUUGAUUACCAGUGAAGAAAACUAUGGGGAUUGACUCUGAGAUGCUGUUCUCCCCAUUUCCCACCUCUCUGUUGAGUUAUGUACUUUAUUUUUGAUGUUGUAAUCUGGAGAUUCUGAGAUUCAGUCGAAUGGUAUACUCACAGUUGUUUUACCCAUGUAUUCAAAAUGGAUUAGAGCCAAAUGCAACAUGAGCAUUUUGGAUUUGUUUGUUUUUUAAGAUAUUUUCUCGAUUGACAAAAUGGCCUUAUAAUGUGAUACUCUGCUACUUUGAUGUCCCCAUGGUGAUUGCGCUGCCAUUGCUUGAAUUUUUUUUUAGAUUUAGACAGAUUCAAUAUUUUUUGAACAUUGGUGUAGUUUAGUCAUGAUUGUCCAUUCUGGAUCAGUGAUGUUAAUGUUUUUACUGCGUUAUCUAUCUGAAAUCCAGUUGAGGAUAGACUUACUUCCUGAGAUCCAGUCCAUUUUUUAUUGAGCAUCAUUAAUUACCACUCAUGGAUUAUAUUGCAAAUGUGAGAUACUACCCUCCUUGCCUUUUGUUUGUCCCAGGUUUUCUUAACAAUCCGGUCCCAGAAGUGAGCAUUUGAAUUUAUCAUGAAAGUUCAAUUUAUAAGAUCGCUUUUGCUUGCUAUAUGAUGACUUUAUAGUAUGGAAUUGCGUGUGUAGUCAGCUACCUUACACUUUUUCUUUCCCUCUGUUUCAACUCUUAGAAUUUUGGUCCUCUUUUAUUUUUGAGUCAUUCUGUCAUGUUGUUACUUGUCCUUGGUGUUCAAAAUUUGUUCUUGAAGGUGAUAAUAUCCUAUAUGUUUUUGCAGCUACUAUUUGUAAUUUGCAGACGACCAUUAAGUGAUAAGUCUUAGAUGAGAACAUAUACUCCAUUUGAGUUAAUUUCUUGGAGCUUUGGUUCAUUUUCAAGUCAUUUUCUCCCAUUGCCAUCUGUCAUUGGCAUUCACAAUUACCUUUAAGGGAAUGAGAAAUUCUGUUUUGCUUGUGAGGUCAUUCACUUCAAAAGGCUGACGAUCAUUGAAGUGCCAGGCUUCUUUUAUGGAACUUUGUUGCCAAAGCUGGUAGCUUCACAUCUGUUCUUCUUCCCCUUCAUGUAAUUUCAAAUUGCUUGCUUCUAUAGUUCAAAUGAAGUUUCAUCCAUUCACUCCCAUUAUUUUGGUCUGAAAAGGAGGGCUGCCUGAGCACGUGGGGCUUUACUGUUGAUCUUCUUGAUUCUCACUGCAAUCGAUUUUUCCAACUACUCCAGUUGAGAAGCAGGUGAUAAAUUGCUUCUUAGCAGAAUGAUACUACUGGUAGUUUCUUCUAGCUCAGAUUGUGUGACGAAGCAACAUUGGGGUAGCCAUCCAGCUGCUUCAGAUUCUCGAAAGUGCCGAGGUGUAUUGCGUAGUCCGAGUCACCACCAUCUGAGGUACAUUGGCAGAUAAUUUACUGGCCAAGUUUGCUACAGCCCAUCUGGAAAGUAAUCUGUAUUUAUAUUCGGCUGCAUUCCCGACACUGUCUAGAUUCUGUAAUGUUAUUAUGUGUAUAUACCAUAUAGGGUUCAUCUGCAGCUGGCAAUGUAAGUUGGACCAGUCCUGCUUCUUGUAUGUACCUUUCUUUUCCCUUCUGAUUUGAAAUUAAUUUACUGUGCUCGCAUAGACCGGUUUUUUUUUUUUGUCAAAAUGAUAACAUUUGUAUUGAUUUAAACUUGAUAAUACAAGAGCACUUUACAAAAGGAGCUCAUUGCUCUCAUAA